AGGCGAAACGCCCGGCGCUUAGGCGUCGGUGCGUCGGUAGGGGGCUGGCCGCCCCGCCCUGAUGAUGCCAGGCCGAA
RNAcentral lists this non-coding RNA (77 nucleotides) under Telmatospirillum sp. Lineage: Bacteria; Pseudomonadati; Pseudomonadota; Alphaproteobacteria; Rhodospirillales; Rhodospirillaceae. The record is from RNAcentral.